CUACGGGGGGCAGCAGUGGGGAAUAUUGGACAAUGGGGGAAACCCUGAUCCAGCAAUGCCGCGUGUGUGAAGAAGGCCUGCGGGUUGUAAAGCACUUUCGGUUGGGAGGACUGCUUCUAGCACUAAUAUUGUUGGAAGUUGACGUUACCUUCAGAAGAAGCACCGGCUAACUCCGUGCCAGCAGCCGCGGUAAACGGAGGGUGCAAGCGUUAAUCGGAAUUACUGGGCGUAAAGCGCGCGUAGGCGGCUAGAUCAGUCGGGUGUGAAAGCCCCGGGCUUAACCUGGGAACUGCAUCCGAUACUGUCUAGCUUGAGUACAGGAGAGGAGAGUGGAAUUCCACAUGUAGCGGUGAAAUGCGUAGAUAUGUGGAGGAACACCAAUGGCGAAGGCAGCUCUCUGGCCUGAUACUGACGCUGAGGUGCGAAGGCGUGGGGAGCAAACAGGAUUAGAUACCCGAGUAGUC
Molecule: ribosomal RNA, 464 nt
Filed under: uncultured bacterium
Lineage: Bacteria
Description: partial 16S ribosomal RNA
Rfam family: Bacterial small subunit ribosomal RNA
Source: RNAcentral